AGCAGCCGCGGUAAUUCCAGCUCCAAUAGCGUAUAUUAAAGUUGUUGCAGUUAAAAAGCUCGUAGUUGAAUUUCGGGAUCAAUAUGUUGGUCGUGCCUUUGGUACGUACUGGUAUUAUUGGUUUCUCCUUUCUGAUGAAUCAUGAUGUCAUUAAUUUGGUGUCAUGGGGAAUCAGGACUGUUACUUUGAAAAAAUUAGAGUGUUUAAAGCAGGCUUACGCUUGAAUACAUUAGCAUGGAAUAAUGAAAUAGGACGUUUAAUUCUAUUUUGUUGGUUUCUAGGAUUGACGUAAUGAUUAAUAGGGAUAGUUGGGGGCAUUAGUAUUCAAUUGUCAGAGGUGAAAUUCUUGGAUUUAUUGAAGACUAACUACUGCGAAAGCAUUUGCCAAGGAUGUUUUCAUUAAUCAAGAACGAAAGUUAGGGGAUCGAAGACGAUCAGAUACCGUCGUAGUCUUAACCAUAAACUAUGCCGACUAGGGAUCGGAUGAUGUUAAUUUAUGACUCGUUCGGCGCCUUAAC
Molecule: ribosomal RNA, 518 nt
Filed under: uncultured Glomus
Lineage: Eukaryota; Fungi; Glomeromycota; Glomeromycetes; Glomerales; Glomeraceae
Description: SSU rRNA
Rfam family: Eukaryotic small subunit ribosomal RNA
Source: RNAcentral